Paramuricea clavata is the source of this 603-nucleotide non-coding RNA. The record is from the annotation of a GenBank genome assembly. Lineage: Eukaryota; Metazoa; Cnidaria; Anthozoa; Malacalcyonacea; Plexauridae.
CGGUUUUAAUAGAGUGUCGCAGAUGGUUUUGUCCAGGAUUGUAGCUCAAUUUUGUUGCUUGCAGUGUAUCGGAUCUAUGGGUCUUUCAGAUCCCAGAAUUACCUAAUUAAUGUAAAGUCUGCAUAAAGCAGAAAAGGCUCUGCUUUGUCAAUGACCGGUGCCUAUUGAGUGACCAAAUAUUGUCAGCCUAAUCCACUUAUUUGAUUGCUAAUUCUUGUUGCAUUACUUUCAUUGCAAAGCACCUGGAUUACAUGAUUUGCCCAUAAAAUUGCAGCAAUUGAUAAACUUGAGUACAUGGACUGAAUGUAUCAAGCAGAAUGCAUGUUGGCGAUUUUAAGCGAUCUUAGGCGAUUUUAGGCGAUUUAGGAGAAAUUCGACAAUUUUAACCCGCGAUUUAGUGCGAUUUUAGGCGAUUUAGGGCGAUUUAAGGCGAUUUACCGCCCCAGAGUAGGCCUAUUUUAGAGUUAGUAGACGUUCCGUCAGUUCUUUGUUAGAUUUAGUUGACAGGAAUUGAGUAUCAUAGAAACAGUUUAUUAAUGUUUUAAAGUCUUUUAUAUUUUUCAGUCUUUUAUGUUUUUUUUGUUUUAUUUUUACAACAGUCUC